GUCAGUUACGAAGAGGCGACCUGGAGA
This 27-nucleotide small RNA is filed under the name Bombyx mori (domestic silkworm). Its description in RNAcentral is "ovarian small RNA-17722". The record is from RNAcentral. Lineage: Eukaryota; Metazoa; Arthropoda; Insecta; Lepidoptera; Bombycidae.